GGGACGUUAGCUCAGUUGGUAGAGCAGCGGACUUUUAAUCCGUUGGUCGCGCGUUCGAAUCGCGCACGUCCUACCA
Molecule: transfer RNA, 76 nt
Filed under: Diaphorobacter aerolatus
Lineage: Bacteria; Pseudomonadati; Pseudomonadota; Betaproteobacteria; Burkholderiales; Comamonadaceae
Also listed under: 1 other name
Description: tRNA-Lys
Rfam family: tRNA
About the family: Transfer RNA (tRNA) molecules are approximately 80 nucleotides in length. Their secondary structure includes four short double-helical elements and three loops (D, anti-codon, and T loops).
Source: RNAcentral